Molecule: unclassified non-coding RNA, 348 nt
Filed under: soil metagenome
Description: partial contains 5.8S ribosomal RNA, internal transcribed spacer 2, and large subunit ribosomal RNA
Rfam family: 5.8S ribosomal RNA (bases 1-120)
Source: RNAcentral
GAUGAAGAACGUAGCAUAAUGCGAUAAGUAAUGUGAAUUGCAGAAUUCAGUGAAUCAUCGAAUCUUUGAACGCACAUUGCGCCCGCUGGUAUUCCGGCGGGCAUGCCUGUUCGAGCGUCAUUUCAACCCUCAAGCCCCCGGGUUUGGUGUUGGGGAUCGGCUCUGCCCUUCUGGGCGGUGCCGCCCCCGAAAUACAUUGGCGGUCUCGCUGCAGCCUCCAUUGCGUAGUAGCUAACACCUCGCAACUGGAACGCGGCGCGGCCAUGCCGUAAAACCCCAACUUCUGAAUGUUGACCUCGGAUCAGGUAGGAAUACCCGCUGAACUUAAGCAUAUCAAUAAGCGGAGGA